This 492-nucleotide ribosomal RNA is filed under the name uncultured bacterium. RNAcentral describes it as "partial 16S ribosomal RNA". It matches the Rfam family "Bacterial small subunit ribosomal RNA", at positions 29 to 506 of the family's 1533-position model. The record is from RNAcentral.
AGUGAACGCUGGCGGUAGGCCUAACACAUGCAAGUCGAACGGCAGCACAGUAAGAGCUUGCUCUUACGGGUGGCGAGUGGCGGACGGGUGAGGAAUACAUCGGAAUCUACUUUUUCGUGGGGGAUAACGUAGGGAAACUUACGCUAAUACCGCAUACGACCUACGGGUGAAAGCAGGGGAUCUUCGGACCUUGCGCGAUUGAAUGAGCCGAUGUCGGAUUAGCUAGUUGGCGGGGUAAAGGCCCACCAAGGCGACGAUCCGUAGCUGGUCUGAGAGGAUGACACGGCCAACUGGGAAAUGGAGACCGGCCCGAACCCCCACGGGGGGAAGGGGGGGGAAAUUUUGGAAAAGGGGGGAAAGCCGAAUCCGGCCAUCCCGGGGGGGGAAAGAAGGCCUUGGGGUUGAAAAGCCUUUUUGUUGGGAAAAAAAAGCGGCAGGUUAAAACCCCGUUUUUCGGAGGGAACCAAAAAAAAAAGCACCGGUAACUUUCGU